This is a non-coding RNA of Phascolarctos cinereus (koala), 5271 nucleotides long. The record is from RefSeq and is a predicted model, not a curated record. Lineage: Eukaryota; Metazoa; Chordata; Mammalia; Diprotodontia; Phascolarctidae.
GUCCUUCUGACUCCAAGGCCAGAGCUCUAUUCACUGUUCCACCUAGCCACCCCUUGGGGGCAUAUUCUUGAACAAGCAGUGUUCUGGGGUGUGUAUUAGAGAUAUCCCCUGGGGCAAACAGGGAAACUAGGGAGGAAGGGCUUGGGAGCCCAGAGGGGCAACAAGGAUGGGUACUGGAACCAGUCUCCAUGGUGGGCAGGGAUCCUGGGGGUGGGCUUUGGGACUAGGCUUUGGGGUGGGAAGGGGUUCUAGAGGUGGGCAUUGCUACUUGGCUCUGAGAAUAGGAGUUCUGGAGGUGGCCAUUGGAAGCAGGCCCUGGAAUAGGCAGGGCUUCUGGGAUUGGACACUGGGGAGGGCAGAGUGGGCACUGGGGAUGGCUUCUGAGGCAAGCAAUGAUUCUGAGGAUGGGUAUUUGUGGUUGGCCCUGGGGUAGGCAGAGAUCCUGUGGCAAAGGGGAGGAAAUCCUUGAGACAGGCAGGGGCACUGGGGCCUGCCAUGGUGGUGAGCAAGGGCUCUGAGGCUGGGAACUGAGAAGGGUAGUGCCUCAAGGAUAGGCAAGGGCACUGGAGGUCAGUCUCUGGGGCAUGCAGGGGUACUGGGUAUGGGCCCUGGAGCACAUUGGACUUCUAUGGCAAGCAGAGGCACUGUGGGCAAGUCCUACUGCAGGCAAGGGCAUUGGGCCCCAGCUGCGGAGCAGGCAAGCAUUGCAAGGGAGGGUGGUCACUGGGGUCAGACUGGGGGACUAUUAGGGGCAGGUAGGGGACUGGGACUUUGAGGUGGUCACUGAGAGCCAGCUACAGGAUGGACAAAGGCUCUUGGGGUGGGCAUUUAGGGAGGGAUCUGGGUUAGGCAGAGGUACUGUGGAUGAGGCCUAGGGUAGGGAGGGGCUCUGAAGGUAGGCACUGGGGGGAGGACCCUGGGUUAGGUAAGGCUUCUGGGCCAGGUAGGAUCACUGGAAGUGGACUCUGGGGCAGACAAAGGGAACUGAAGAAGUCAGGAGCUCAGGGAAGGGGGUGAUCACUGGAAUAAGGCUUUGGGGUGGAUAUGAGUUCUUGGGGUGAGUACUAAGGGUGAGCUCUGGGAUAGGCCAGAAUUCUGGGGUGGGGGUGGACUAAGACUUAGGUAUGAACAUAUUCUGGGAAUGGACUCUGGCAGGGCCACAGGAGUCUCUGCGGGAUGGGCACUGGGGGCAGGCCCUUGGGCAGGGAGAGGUACUGGGGCCUGGAUCUAAGGUGGGCAGGGGGUCUGGGUAUGGGCACUAAGAAGAGUAGAGGUCCUAGAGAGAACAGGGACAAUGGGGAGUAGGCACUGGAACCAGGCUCUGGGGUGGGAGGGGUACUAGAGGUGAGCACUGGCACAGGCAAGGGCUCUGAGGUGGGCACUGGGGAGCCCAGGGAUGCUGGGGGACACUGCUAUGAGAAUCUGGGGCAGACAUGGGCUCUGAGAAUGGACACGUGGUGGGCCCUGGGGUGGGCAGGGCCUCCGAGGCAGACAGGGGCACUUGGAAUAGGUACUGGGGUCAGGCUCUUGGACCAGACUCUGAGGUGGGAAGGUCUGAGAGUGAUCACUGGAACCAGGUUCUGGGAUGGUCAGGGGUUCUGGUGGUGAGCACUGGGGUCAGGCUCUGGGUCAUGCCGGGACAGUGGAGGCAGACUCUAAGGGUAGGCUCUGGGGCAUACUGGACUUUUGUGCAGACACUGCACUGUGGACAGGGUAGGCAGGGUCACUGGGUCCCAGAUCUGGUGCAGGCAAGCACUGGGGGGUGGUCACUAGCAUCAGGCUGUGGAGGUUGGGACUAGAGAGGUCAAGGACUCCAAUGUGAAUAAUAACACUGGGGGUGGUCACAGGGGAAGAGACACUGAGACUGAGCUCUAGGAGUCACCUCUGGGGCAGGCAAUGGCUCAGGAUGGGCAUUUGUGGCAGGCCUUGAGGCACACAAGGCUUCUGGGGCAGGUAGGGGGCACUGAGGUGGUCUGGGAUUCUGAAGCAGGCAAAGACACAAGGAGUGGUCACUGGGACAAUGCUCUGGGGUGGGCACUCAGUGAAAACCUUAGCACAGGAAAGAGUUCUGGGGGCAGGCUCUGAGAGAGGCAGACAUAUUGGGAAUCAGUUCUGAGGCUAGCAGGGGUCUCCUCUGGGGUCGGCAGUGGCUUGAAGGAUAGGUAUUUGUGGUGGCCCUUGAAGCAGGCAUGUGCACUGAGGAGGGCAGGGGUUCUGGAGGUAGGGACUGGUAGUAGGCUCCUAGACUAAGCUCUGUGGUGGGAAGGGGUUCCGAGGAUGGGCACUGAAACCAGGUUCAAAGGUAAGACUGGUACUGGGGGUGGGCUUUGGGGGAGGCAGGGCCAAUAGGGGUGAGCUCUGGAACAUGCAGGAAUUCGGGGGGCAGGCACUAGGGAGGGCAGGGGCUUUGGAGAAGGCAAGGAUACUGAGGGUGAUCACUCCAGUGCCCAUCCUAGGGGCCUCUGGGGUUGAGCAAUGGAUGUGGGCCCUGGGGCAGGUAGGGGGCACCAGAGUCAAGCUCUGGAGCAGGAAGGGCUGCUGGAGGUGUGCACUAGGGUCAAACCUUGGGACAGGCAGGUGCUAAGGGAUGUGGGGGUGAGCACUGGGAGAAUCAGGGCCAAUGAAGGUAGGCUCUAGGGCAGCUAAGCACUCUAGGGGUUGGCACUGGGUAACUUGGGAUUUGGGGAUAUUAGAAGUAGGUCCUGGAGUAGGCAGGGGCACUGGAGCGAGGCUCUGAGACAAGCAGGGACACUGAGGGCAGAGGCUCUGGGAUAGGCACUGAGGAGGGCAGAGGGUCUAAAGUGAGCAGGAGCACUUGGGAUGGGCACUGGAAACAGGUUCUGGGGUGGGUAGGGGCUCUAAGGGUGGUCCCUGAGGUAGGCAGGGUUUCUGGGACAGGCAGGGGCCCUGGGGAGAGCAGGAGCUCUAGAAGUGAGUAUUUGUGGUGGGUCCUGGGACAAAGUAGGUAAUGUGACCAGGCUCUGGGGUGGGGAAGACUAUGGGUGGGCACUGAGAGCAGACCCUUGGGGAGGAAGGGCCCCUGGGAAGAAAGUCCCUGAAAGUGGUUUCUGGGGCACGCAAACAUUGUGGUGGUGGUUCCUGGGAUCAGGCUCUGAGUGGGCAUAGACUCUAAGGAAUUAGGGUACUGGGCUUGGGCUCUGGGUCAGACAGGGCCUCUGCAGCAGACAAGACGACUGUGGCUGGAAUCUAGCACGGGAAGGGGCACUGUGUCCCAGCUCUUGGAGGUGGUCACUGGGAAUAUCAGGGGCUCUGGGGCACACAUGGGCACUGGAAGUCACCCACUGGGAUCAGCCUCUCAGGUGGGCAGGUGCUCUAGAGGCUGGUUUUGGGGGUGGGCCCUGAGAGGCACAGCUGCCUCUAGGGCAGGAAGAGUUUCUGGGGCUGGGCACUGGAGGCAGGUCUAGGAGCAGUCAGGGGCCCUAGGAUGGGCACUGGAGUAGGCAAAGGUUCUGAGGCAGACAGAGAUGCUGGGGAAGGCAAGGGUUCUCAGGGCAGGCUAUAAAGCAGGCAGGGGCACUAAGGAAGACAGGGGCUCUGGGGGCAAGCUGGGGCACUGUGGGUGGGCCCUCUGAAAGGCAGGGACUCAGAAAGGUGAGGACUGGGGGUGAGCACUGGGGGGAGUCUGGGGCGAGGAGGGUGGGGCCUGGGGCAGCUAGGCACUCUAGGGUUGGCACGGGGAGGACAGAGGGCAGAGAGCAGAGGGUGAGUAUUGAGAGAGGGUUCUGGGUCAGGCAGGGACACUGGAGGUAGGCUUACUGGAGGUGAUCCCUAGGGCAAACAGGAGAACUGGGGAAAGCAGAGACACUGGGACAGGGCUCUGGGGUGGGUAGGGACUCUAGGGUUGGGCACUGGGGGUAGGCUCUGAGACAGAGAGGGCCUCUGCAGCAGGCAGGGAUAUUAGGGUUGGGUCAUAACACAGGCAAGGGCACUGAGUAAGGGUACUAGCAGUAAACAGGUAGGCCUUGGGCAAGGCUGGACCUCUGAGACAGACAGAAGCUCUUGGGUUUCGAAACUGGGGGGCAGGUCCUGGUACUGGCAGGGUCACUGGGAUUCAGCUCUGAGGAGGACAAGGUCAGAUAGAGGCACUAAAGGUGCACAGUGGGACCAAGCUCUGGGAACUGCAGGCAGACUCUGGAGCAGUCAGAGGCGCUAGGGUGGGCACUGAAGCAGAAGCCUGGUAGCUUCUUUCAGAGCACUGGACUAGGGAAUGAGGAGAGAUGGAAUCCAGUGUCAUUUCUGCCACUCCCUAGCCUGAUUUCCAUCCAUAGCUUAGCAUGGUGCCUAACAAACAGAUCUGAAUUUGCUACUCUGGCAAGUCAAGCCCUGGACGUUGAUGUUUAAGAUGGCAAGUGGCAGUCACUGGAUCUACAUACCUAAGGUCUAAUCCUAACUCUGUUCCUAAACUGUGAGACCUCAAGGAAGUUGAAGCCUGGCUCUCACCUCUCUGAAUCUCAGCUUUCUUAUCUGUAAAAUGAUGGGGGAACUGAGACAAAGUAAUUUUCCCUAAGGUCAGGUGGCAGAUAGAAAGCCUGCUCCCGAUUCCAGAUCCUGGCUUUUUCCAAAGCACCAAGCUGCCUCUGGCCUCAUGAAGGAGAGAUUUGACUUGACCUUGAAAGAUGGAAAGGAGUAGGGGAAGACAAGGAGGGAGUCAUAUGAGCAAAGUGGGGAGAGGAAGCCUCUAAAAAAGGAAAGAAAAGAAAACGUCAUUGAAGCACUUUUUAAAAAAUGCACAGAAGAGAAUAGAAAGUCAAAAAGAAUCAAAGACGAUCAGGAUUGAAAGUUAUAUGUAUUUAUUUUAUAUUUUAAAAGAAAAGCAUGCUGUACAUAAGAGAUUUACACAGUUUAUCUUUUCUCUUUUCCUGUGUGUGCGCGCACGCGCUCAUUUUGUUUGCUAUGUGUUAAGUUCAGAAUAAAAAAAAUUUUAAAUAAUUGUAGACCCCUAUACCAAGUAUGCCACACCCCCCCCUUCGCUUUCUUUUGUAUAUUGUUUUCCCCCUUAGACUGUAAACUGAGGUCUUUCUUUUUCAUAUUUGUAUCUCCAGCGCUUAGCACAGUGCCUGGCACAUAGAAGGCACUUAAUAAAUGUUUAUUGGCUAUAGCUGUAGGUGAUGAAAACCAACAGAUCAAUAAAAAAAAAAUUAAGUCUAAAAAUGCGGUCGGGGGCACUGAAAGGCUAACAGACUUGCCCAUGAUCAUGCAAUCAGUCAAGAAACAUUUAUUAAACCCUGACUAUAUACCUAUGAUAAUGAC